This 434-nucleotide ribosomal RNA is filed under the name uncultured Roseburia sp. RNAcentral describes it as "partial 16S ribosomal RNA". It matches the Rfam family "Bacterial small subunit ribosomal RNA", at positions 341 to 792 of the family's 1533-position model. Lineage: Bacteria; Bacillati; Bacillota; Clostridia; Lachnospirales; Lachnospiraceae. The record is from RNAcentral.
ACGGAAGGCAGCAGUGGGGAAUAUUGCACAAUGGGCGAAAGCCUGAUGCAGCGACGCCGCGUGAGCGAAGAAGUAUUUCGGUAUGUAGAGCUCUAUCAGCAGGGAAGAUAAUGACGGUACCUGACUAAGAAGCACCGGCUAAAUACGUGCCAGCAGCCGCGGUAAUACGUAUGGUGCAAGCGUUAUCCGGAUUUACUGGGUGUAAAGGGAGCGCAGGCGGUACGGCAAGUCUGAUGUGAAAGCCCGGGGCUCAACCCCGGUACUGCAUUGGAAACUGUCGAACUAGAGUGUCGGAGGGGUAAGUGGAAUUCCUAGUGUAGCGGUGAAAUGCGUAGAUAUUAGGAGGAACACCAGUGGCGAAGGCGGCUUACUGGACGAUAACUGACGCUGAGGCUCGAAAGCGUGGGGAGCAAACAGGAUUAGAUACCCUGGUA